ACCAUUUCUUGGCCUUUAGGCUAAGACCCAGCAUAGCAUCUGUUCUUUUCAGUCGAAUAUACUAUGUCUUCUGUCUAAGAAUAAUAUAUGCAGUGAAUUUCUGAAGCAGGGAGAUAGAAGGGGAACUUGAUACAUCUACUUCAUAAUCAACCUGGUACUGUAGAACCUCAGGAACAAUAUACCUUUC
Molecule: small nuclear RNA, 187 nt
Organism: Phodopus roborovskii (desert hamster)
Lineage: Eukaryota; Metazoa; Chordata; Mammalia; Rodentia; Cricetidae
Product: U2 spliceosomal RNA
Exons: 1
Source: RefSeq, a predicted model, not a curated record